Molecule: transfer RNA, 83 nt
Filed under: Candidatus Delongbacteria bacterium
Lineage: Bacteria; Candidatus Delongiibacteriota
Description: tRNA-Tyr
Rfam family: tRNA
About the family: Transfer RNA (tRNA) molecules are approximately 80 nucleotides in length. Their secondary structure includes four short double-helical elements and three loops (D, anti-codon, and T loops).
Source: RNAcentral
GGGUCAGUGACCGAGUGGUUAAAGGUGGCAGACUGUAAAUCUGCUGGCAGUAGCCUACGGUGGUUCGAAUCCAUCCUGGCCCA